UGCGCGCACCAGGGGCGCCUAACGGCUGAGAAGUACCCUUUGAACCUGAACCAGAUAAUGCUGGCGGAGGGAGGGUCGAAGCCACAGAU
Molecule: non-coding RNA, 89 nt
Filed under: Pacificibacter marinus
Lineage: Bacteria; Pseudomonadati; Pseudomonadota; Alphaproteobacteria; Rhodobacterales; Roseobacteraceae
Description: TPP sequence
Rfam family: TPP riboswitch aptamer (THI element)
About the family: Vitamin B(1) in its active form thiamin pyrophosphate (TPP) is an essential coenzyme that is synthesised by coupling of pyrimidine and thiazole moieties in bacteria. The previously detected thiamin-regulatory element, thi box was extended, resulting in a new, highly conserved RNA secondary structure, the THI element, which is widely distributed in eubacteria and also occurs in some archaea.
Source: Rfam by way of RNAcentral